CCUACGGGGGGCUGCAGUAAGGAAUAUUGGUCAAUGGAGGAAACUCUGAACCAGCCAUCCCGCGUGAAGGAUGAAGGGGCUCUGCCUUGUAAACUUCUUUUGUCUGGGGCGAAAAAGCUCGAUUUAUCGAGAACUGACGGUACCAGAAGAAUAAGCACCGGCUAACUCCGUGCCAGCAGCCGCGGUAAUACGGAGGGUGCAAGCGAUAUCCGGAAUCAAUGGGUUUGAAGGGGGCGUAGGCGGCUUGGUAUGAAAGGCUGUGGCUUAACCAUGGAAUUGCCAUUGAUACUGCAGAGCUUGAAUGAGGAUGAGGUUGGCGGAAUGUGACAUGUAGCGGUGAAAUGCUUAGAUAUGUCAUGGAACACCGAUUGCGAAGGCAGCUGACUGGACCUAUAUUGACGCUGAGGCACGAAAGCGUGGGGAGCGAACAGGAUUAGAUACCCCAGUAUC
RNAcentral lists this ribosomal RNA (450 nucleotides) under uncultured bacterium. RNAcentral describes it as "partial 16S ribosomal RNA". It matches the Rfam family "Bacterial small subunit ribosomal RNA", at positions 338 to 794 of the family's 1533-position model. The record is from RNAcentral.